Molecule: ribosomal RNA, 433 nt
Filed under: uncultured bacterium
Lineage: Bacteria
Description: partial 16S ribosomal RNA
Rfam family: Bacterial small subunit ribosomal RNA
Source: RNAcentral
AACGAACGCUGGCGGCAGGCCUAACACAUGCAAGUCGAGCGAGGACUUCGGGUCUUUCGGCGGACGGGUGUGUAACGCGUGGGAAUGUGCCCUUCUCUACGGAAUACCCCUGGGAAACUGGGAGUAAUACCGUAUACGCCCUAUUGGGGAAAGAUUUAUCGGAGAAGGAUCUGCCCGCGUUGGAUUAGGUAGUUGGUGGGGUUAUGGCCUACCAAGCCGACGAUCCAUAGCUUGUUUGAGAGGAUGAUCAGCCACACUGGGACUGAGACACGGCCCAGACUCCUACGGGAGGCAGCAGUGGGGAAUCUUAGACAAUGGGGGCAACCCUGAUCUAGCCAUGCCGCGUGAGUGAUGAAGGCCGUAGGGUUGUAAAGCUCUUUCAGCUGGGAAGAUAAUGACGGUACCAGCAGAAGAAGCCCCGGCUAACUCCGUG